RNAcentral lists this ribosomal RNA (2279 nucleotides) under human metagenome. RNAcentral describes it as "bacterial LSU rRNA". It matches the Rfam family "Bacterial large subunit ribosomal RNA", at positions 3 to 2317 of the family's 2925-position model. The record is from RNAcentral.
UUAAGCAAAAAAGAGCGCAGGGUGGAUGCCUUGGCACUAAGAGCCGAAGAAAGACGUGAUAAGCUGCGAAAAGCUGCGGGGAGAUGCAAAUAAUCCUUGAUCCGCAGAUGUCUGAAUGGGGAAACCCGGUACGAAGAACUCGUAUCAUCCAUACGCCAAUCCAUAACGUAUGGAGGGGAACCCGGUGAACUGAAACAUCUAAGUAGCCGGAGGAAGAGAAAGAAACAUCGAUUUUGUUAGUAGCGGCGAGCGAAAGCGAAAGAGGCCAAACCGGAGUGCGUGCACUCCGGGGUUCGGACCGCAUUUAAGAUUCAGUGAUUCUAGCAGAAAGGCUUGGGAAAGCCUGCCGGAGAGGGUGAAAGCCCCGUAAGCGAAAGGAGAGCUGACUGAGCGGGAUCCAGAGUACAUCGAGACACGAGAAACCUUGAUGGAAAGAGCGGGGACCACCCCGUAAGCCUAAAUACUACUUAGUGACCGAUAGCGCAUAGUACUGUGAAGGAAAGGUGAAAAGGACCCCGGGAGGGGAGUGAAAGAGAACCUGAAACCCUGUGUUUACAAGCUGUGGAAGUUCUUUAAAUGAACAACCGCGUACUUUUUGUAGAACGGUCCGGCGAGUUGCGGAUACUGGCAAGGUUAAGCACUUAAGGUGCGGAGCCGAAGGGAUACCAAGUCUUAACAGGGCGUAAAGUCAGUAUACGCAGACCCGAAACCGGGUGAUCUAUCCAUGUCCAGGUUGAAGUUGUCGUAAAAGACAAUGGAGGACCGAAGCCACAUCCGUUGAAAAGGGUGGGCAUGAGGUGUGGAUAGGGGAGAAAUUCCAAUCGAACCCGGAGAUAGCUGGUUCUCCUCGAAAUAGCUUUAGGGCUAGCCUCGAUUUAGUCUUAUGGAGGUAGAGCACUGAAUUUCCGCGGGGGCGUCAAAGCUUACCAAAGAAUAUCAAACUCCGAAUGCCAUGUAGAUGAUGAUCGGGAGUCAGACUGCACGAGAUAAGUUGGGCAGUCAAAAGGGAAAGAGCCCAGACCGCCAGCUAAGGUCCCAAAGUGUGUGUUAAGUGGAAAAGGAUGUGGGAUUUCGAAGACAACUAGGAUGUUGGCUCAGAAGCAGCCAUACAUUCAAAGAGUGCGUAACAGCUCACUAGUCGAGAGUUCCUGCGCCGAAAAUGUCCGGGGCUGAAACACGACACCGAAGCCGUGGACUCGCAAUGCGAGUGGUAGAGGAGCAUUCUUAAAACCGACGAAGCUGUACCGGAAGGAGCAGUGGAGGGAUAAGAAGAGAGAAUGCCGGAAUGAGUAGCGAGAGGAAGGUGAGAAUCCUUCCGGCCGAAUAUCUAAGGUUUCCAGAGUAAAGCUGAUCUGCUCUGGGUAAGUCGGGGCCUAAGCACAGGUCGCAAGACGUAAGCGAUGGAUAACAGGUUUAGAUUCCUGUACCACGCAUUAUCAGAACUGUAGGGACGCAUGUGGAAAGCACGAGCCGGGAAUGGAAAGACCGGUACAAGCGGGGUAGGAGUACAAUAGGCAAAUCCGUUGUAUGAUCCGAAGACGUGAUGUGGAGCGAAAUAAAGUAGUGAAGCGUGUGAGCCAUGUGCCGAGAAAAGCUGCUAUUGUGUAAUGCGUGCCCGUACCGUAAACCGACACAGGUGGAUGAGGAGAGAAUCCUAAGGCCGACGGAAGAAGCAUUGUUAAGGAAUUCGGCAAAAUGACCCCGUAACUUCGGGAGAAGGGGUGCCUGCGAGAGCAGGCCGCAGAGAAUAGGCUCAAGCAACUGUUUAGCAAAAACACAGGUCUAUGCGAAACCGAAAGGUGAAGUAUAUGGGCUGACGCCUGCCCGGUGCUGGAAGGUUAAGAGGAGAGGUUAGCGCAAGCGAAGCUUUGAAUUUAAGCCCCAGUAAACGGCGGCCGUAACUAUAACGGUCCUAAGGUAGCGAAAUUCCUUGUCGGGUAAGUUCCGACCCGCACGAAAGGCGUAAUGAUUUGGGCACUGUCUCAACAAUGCACCCGGUGAAAUUGAAAUACCAGUGAAGAUGCUGGUUACCCGCGCCAGGACGGAAAGACCCCAUGGAGCUUUACUCCAGUUUGAUACUGGGAUUCGGUACUGCAUGUACAGGAUAGGUGGGAGACGAAGAAGGAUGGACGCCAGUCUGUCCGGAGUCGCUGUUGGGAUACCACCCCUGUAGUACUGGGUUUCUAACCAGUUACCAUGAUCUGGUAAUGGGACAAUGUCAGGCGGGGAGUUUGACUGGGGCGGUCGCCUCCGAAAGGGUAUCGGAGGCGCUCAAAGGU